AUGAGGCCGACGGAGUUAAGAUUUGACAAGCUUCAGUUGUGGGCUAGGGUUCCCAACCUUCCCUUCAACUUGCAGAAUGAAACUUGGGGCCUGGCAAUAGCUAGACAGAUAGACAAGAAUGUGACCUCGGUACAGUUUGAUCCUGUAGGAGGAUUUCUGAGAGCAAGGGUGACAAUUGAUGUUAACAAACCACUAAGAAGGUGGAUUCUUAUUGAGUCAGCAAGAAGGAAGAGCGGGGACUGGUAUGUGAUACGUCUCUGCCAUAUCUAUAAUUUUUUAUUGUUCCAUGCCAAUAUUCUACAACUUUCAUAUACUUUUGGCAACUUUUUAUACUAUUUUUGGGACUAA
RNAcentral lists this ribosomal RNA (348 nucleotides) under Triticum aestivum (bread wheat). RNAcentral describes it as "partial small subunit ribosomal RNA". Lineage: Eukaryota; Viridiplantae; Streptophyta; Magnoliopsida; Poales; Poaceae. The record is from RNAcentral.